UUUCACUAGGGGUGCCUUAAGAAAAGAGGCUGAGAUUGAAUGGCAUUCAAAACCCUUUGAACCUGAUCUGGUUUGUACCAGUGGAGGGAAGUGUG
Molecule: non-coding RNA, 95 nt
Filed under: uncultured Cytobacillus sp.
Lineage: Bacteria; Bacillati; Bacillota; Bacilli; Caryophanales; Bacillaceae
Description: TPP riboswitch (THI element)
Rfam family: TPP riboswitch aptamer (THI element)
About the family: Vitamin B(1) in its active form thiamin pyrophosphate (TPP) is an essential coenzyme that is synthesised by coupling of pyrimidine and thiazole moieties in bacteria. The previously detected thiamin-regulatory element, thi box was extended, resulting in a new, highly conserved RNA secondary structure, the THI element, which is widely distributed in eubacteria and also occurs in some archaea.
Source: RNAcentral